AUACUUACCUGGGAGGGGAGAUACCAUGAUAACAAAGGUGGUUUUCUCAGGGUGAGGCUUAUUCAUUGCACUCCAGAUGUGCUGCCUCCUGCAAUUUUCCCAAAUGUGGGAAACGCGACUGCAUAAUUUGUGAUAGUAGGGGACUGCAUUUGCACUCUCCCC
Molecule: small nuclear RNA, 162 nt
Filed under: Carlito syrichta (Philippine tarsier)
Lineage: Eukaryota; Metazoa; Chordata; Mammalia; Primates; Tarsiidae
Description: U1 spliceosomal RNA (ENSTSYG00000027185.1)
Rfam family: U1 spliceosomal RNA
About the family: U1 is a small nuclear RNA (snRNA) component of the spliceosome (involved in pre-mRNA splicing). Its 5' end forms complementary base pairs with the 5' splice junction, thus defining the 5' donor site of an intron.
Source: RNAcentral